CUUAGCUAUUGAUAACUGGUUUAAAUAUAGCAGCUUGUUGUCUUGUAGUUUCUAGUGUAGAAAAUAUCAAACUGUUUUCUAUCACUUAGAUAUGUGUAACAAAUGUUGUAGGUGUGAAACAAUAUUACAAGUGACCGAUGUAGUAAAUUCGAAUCAAAGUUACGCUUCGAUUUGACUCUCAGAUAUGAAGUGAACACCUCAAAU
Molecule: non-coding RNA, 204 nt
Organism: Pelobates cultripes (western spadefoot toad)
Lineage: Eukaryota; Metazoa; Chordata; Amphibia; Anura; Pelobatidae
Source: the annotation of a GenBank genome assembly